This 460-nucleotide ribosomal RNA is filed under the name uncultured Front Range soil crenarchaeote FRD25x2. Its description in RNAcentral is "bacterial SSU rRNA". It matches the Rfam family "Archaeal small subunit ribosomal RNA", at positions 24 to 488 of the family's 1478-position model. The record is from RNAcentral. Lineage: Archaea; Thermoproteati; Thermoproteota.
CCCGACUGCUAUCAGAGUGGGAUUAAGCCAUGCGAGUCGACGUAGCAAUAUGUGGCGAUACGGCUCAGUAACACGUAGUCAACAUGCCCAGGGGACGUGGAUAACCUCGGGAAACUGAGAAUAAACCGCGAUAGGUCAUGAUUUCUGGAAUGGAUCAUGGCUUAAAUCUACAUGGCCCCUGGAUUGGACUGCGGCCGAUCAGGCNGUUGGUGAGGUAAUGGCCCACCAAACCUNUAACCGGUACGGGCUCUGAGAGGAGAAGCCCGGAGAUGGGCACUGAGACAAGGGCCCAGGCCCUAUGGGGCGCAGCAGGCGCGAAACCUCUGCAAUAGGCGAAAGCCUGACAGGGUUACUCUGAGUGAUUUCCGCUAAGGGGAUCUUUUGGCACCUCUAAAAAUGGUGCAGAAUAAGGGGUGGGCAAGUCUGGUGUCAGCCGCCGCGGUAAUACCAGCACCCCGAG